RNAcentral lists this ribosomal RNA (300 nucleotides) under uncultured Bacillus sp. Its description in RNAcentral is "partial 16S ribosomal RNA". It matches the Rfam family "Bacterial small subunit ribosomal RNA", at positions 496 to 795 of the family's 1533-position model. The record is from RNAcentral. Lineage: Bacteria; Bacillati; Bacillota; Bacilli; Caryophanales; Bacillaceae.
GCGUACUGCGGGGCAGGAGCGGAGGGAAUAGGGGGGGGGUGAGCGUGGUUCGGAAAUACUGGGGGUGAAGCGCACGUAGGCGGACCGGAAAGUUGGGGGUGAAAUCCCGGGGCUCAACCUCGGAACUGCCUUCAAAACUACUGGGCGUGAGUUCGAGAGAGGUGAGUGGAAUUCCGAGUGUAGAGGUGAAAUUCGUAGAUAUUCGGAGGAACACCAGUGGCGAAGGCGGCUCACUGGCUCGAUACUGACGCUGAGGUGCGAAAGCGUGGGGAGCAAACAGGAUUAGAUACCCGUGUAGUC